UAGACUUGAAAUCCUACGAAUCCGACGUAAUUGUUGGAGUGCUCGCAAGAGAAUGUAGUGAC
This 62-nucleotide ribosomal RNA is filed under the name uncultured bacterium. Its description in RNAcentral is "partial 16S ribosomal RNA". The record is from RNAcentral.